Molecule: ribosomal RNA, 496 nt
Filed under: uncultured bacterium
Lineage: Bacteria
Description: partial 16S ribosomal RNA
Rfam family: Bacterial small subunit ribosomal RNA
Source: RNAcentral
AUGAACGCUGGCGGCGUGCCUAAUACAUGCAAGUCGAGCGAACAGACGAGGAGCUUGCUCCUCUGACGUUAGCGGCGGACGGGUGAGUAACACGUGGAUAACCUACCUAUAAGACUGGGAUAACUUCGGGAAACCGGAGCUAAUACCGGAUAAUAUAUUGAACCGCAAGGUUCAAUAGUGAAAGACGGUUUUGCUGUCACUUAUAGAUGGAUCCGCGCCGCAUUAGCUAGUUGGUAAGGUAACGGCUUACCAAGGCAACGAUGCGUAGCCGACCUGAGAGGGUGAUCGGCCACACUGGAACUGAGACACGGUCCAGACUCCUACGGGAGGCAGCAGUAGGGAAUCUUCCGCAAUGGGCGAAAGCCUGACGGAGCAACGCCGCGUGAGUGAUGAAGGUCUUCGGAUCGUAAACCUCUGUUAUUAGGGAAGAACAAAUGUGUAAGUAACUAUGCACGUCUUGACGGUACCUAAUCAGAAAGCCACGGCUAACUACGUG